GGCCGAGCCCCGCCUCCUGUGGCCGGCCGAGCCCCAUUGGAGGAGGGGCCGAUGCGGGGCGGGCAGACCGGCCUAUCAGAGGGCCGCAGGCGGCACGGAGGGCGGGCCGCAGCUUUCCUCCCGGCCACGCUACUUGCACUGACCUUUGCGGGAUUUGUGGCCUGGUUUUUGUUUCCCAUUGCUUUGAUCUCGCUCAUGAAAUUGUACACGUUAAUCUCUGAGGAUGUCACAUACAUACAGACCAUGUGUAAAUGACUACCAGUUUUUUUUGACUCCUCCAAAGAGGAAAGGAUCCAAGUGUUGGGACUGACUGUUCAAGCAAAAAUAUUUUAAUGUUGCUGCUCUAAACUGAAUCACAACCAGCAAUAACAAGGAUGCAAUGUGACUCUGGCAACUUCUGAAACUACCUGAAGAUGCACUACCGUUCUUUAUGAAGAUGUUUAUUAGGCUCUAGAAUUCUGCAUUUUAUUUCAGAGCACGGUGGGUGCUGCCUCAAAGACUGCUUCUGAAAGUCAACAUGCUGCUGAGCAACGUGGGCUUAGAAAAAAUUACAGAAAUACUACAGUGUUUGAAGGGAAUUGAACAACAUAUGUGGCACGGCAAACAGACCUGGAAAUACCUGAAGUGGAGUACUGAAGCAUAAAAAGGUCGCUCUGUGCCUGUUCAGUCUAUUGGCUCAUGGCUGUCUCCAUGUCACUAGCACCUUACACAUUUUAUCAAAUAUAAACAAAAUGUUCUCUUCUACCUUUGUGUCAUGAGCAUUUUUUAAAUGUUGCUUUGUUGUGUUAUUAGAGACUGCACAGGAUAAUGGGCACGUGCUUAUUUCAAUUUUUCCCAUUGUAAGCAUCAGACUCUGGAAAAGGUGCUAGCAGAUGGACACUUGUGUUUCCGAGUUAACAGAUUCAUUGCUCCAAUGCAGUUUAAAUACCCUGCUGGAUUAGGAAUGUGAAGGAUGAAGCAGCUGUACGGUCAAUUUCUUACACCAACUAUCAAAGAUAACAGAUCUUGUGAUUUCACAGUGUGUUUUUUAAUGUACACACAAAGCUAUUUUUAUGCACUGAAAAAAACUAAAACAUUCACAUAGCUCACAGCUGUCAAGCUUCACAUCCACACAGGGUAACGUUCACCCUCCUUUGUGUAUCAGUUUUUUUUAUCUGAAGAACCACUCUUUGGGCCUGGCAAACAUUUAUCUC
Molecule: long non-coding RNA, 1193 nt
Organism: Parus major (Great Tit)
Lineage: Eukaryota; Metazoa; Chordata; Aves; Passeriformes; Paridae
Exons: 6
Source: RefSeq, a predicted model, not a curated record